AGCAGAAGAAGAAGAAGAGCAAAGCGCAGAAGGCAUGCUCCAUUCU
RNAcentral lists this small RNA (46 nucleotides) under Arabidopsis thaliana (thale cress). RNAcentral's name for it is "ATSL180310". The record is from RNAcentral. Lineage: Eukaryota; Viridiplantae; Streptophyta; Magnoliopsida; Brassicales; Brassicaceae.